This 253-nucleotide ribosomal RNA is filed under the name uncultured bacterium. RNAcentral describes it as "partial 16S ribosomal RNA". It matches the Rfam family "Bacterial small subunit ribosomal RNA", at positions 524 to 776 of the family's 1533-position model. The record is from RNAcentral.
UACGGGGGGGGCAAGCGUUGUCCGGAAUUAUUGGGCGUAAAGAGCUCGUAGGCGGUUUGUCGCGUCUGCUGUGAAAACCCGAGGCUCAACCUCGGGCCUGCAGUGGGUACGGGCAGACUAGAGUGCGGUAGGGGAGAUUGGAAUUCCUGGUGUAGCGGUGGAAUGCGCAGAUAUCAGGAGGAACACCGGUGGCGAAGGCGGGUCUCUGGGCAGUAACUGACGCUGAGGAGCGAAAGCGUGGGGAGCGAACAGG